GAAUCUAUGAAAAGAAGGACCCAAUGGACUUUUCAGUUUCACUAUAUCAUAGUUGGCAUUAAAAAGGAAAUAUUUGCCAAAAUCUCUAUACUGCUGUACCUUAGCCUUUGUAGAUAUUCACAAUUUUUAAUAUGGGCCUGGAUAUUGACUUUGUAUUUGUACCCACUGUAUUACUCAUAACAUUUUUUAUUGAAGGAAAACUGUUUUUAAUUAUCAUUUUUGCUUUAGGCUGCUUUCUGACAACAAAUCUCAGCUCAAAAAUACAGGUGGCAUAAGCAGUGUAACAUCUCUGGCAAGGAGUAGUCUCCUAGGCAACUUCUCUUGCCCUCUUUCUCUCUUUUCUCAACUGCAGUAUUUCACUUCUACUAGCCAAUAUCCUAAGAGAAAGCAACAGUCCAGAUCAGCAAGUUUACAAGGCUCCCGUAAGGAUGACGCAAGGUUUAAUCUCCUGAAGACAAGUGACUAUGUGAGAAUCUCAGCUUUUUUUUAAAGCUGAUUGGUGAAACAGAAAAGUCUGAAAACAUGAUCUGAAUGUACCCUAAAGACUUUCAGAAAUCAGAAGGCAAAUAAUAUAAUAUCUAUCUUUUUAGCAUGAAUAUUUUAAAGAUAAUUGAUUAGCUAAUAUUAAGAUAAGUCUACCAUAGAUUCUGGCUCAGUCUGUGAACUUUUUUCCUGCUUCAAAAGAUAGGCAUUAUUUUUAUAUUUUAUUUUCUAUUUGAGAACCCCAGAAAUGGGUAGCUAUGAGCCCUACUAAAAGUGUACAGCAUUGAUUUCUCAUAAUACAGCCGAAAGAAAGGUAAGGGCAGAGAAUAAACAUGAAUGUCUAUGACAAAAAACAAAUAGCUAUUCAAUAAAGCAUGUGGGCAUCUUCUACCAGGCUCUUCCUAAAAUCAUUAUUUCCUUAGCUCUCCUUCAUUUCUAAGAGGCUGUUCAACAAGAGAUCUUUCCCU
Molecule: long non-coding RNA, 950 nt
Organism: Alligator sinensis (Chinese alligator)
Lineage: Eukaryota; Metazoa; Chordata; Crocodylia; Alligatoridae
Exons: 2
Source: RefSeq, a predicted model, not a curated record